Molecule: ribosomal RNA, 253 nt
Filed under: uncultured bacterium
Lineage: Bacteria
Description: partial 16S ribosomal RNA
Rfam family: Bacterial small subunit ribosomal RNA
Source: RNAcentral
UACGUAGGGUGCGAGCGUUAAUCGGAAUUACUGGGCGUAAAGCGUGCGCAGGCGGAUUGUUAAGCAAGAUGUGAAAUCCCCGGGCUUAACCUGGGAAUGGCAUUUUGAACUGGCAAGCUAGAGUGUGGCAGAGGGGGGUGGAAUUCCAAGUGUAGCAGUGAAAUGCGUAGAUAUUUGGAGGAACACCAAUGGCGAAGGCAGCCCCCUGGGUUAACACUGACGCUCAUGCACGAAAGCGUGGGGAGCAAACAGG